This is a long non-coding RNA of Rattus norvegicus (Norway rat), 1023 nucleotides long. Lineage: Eukaryota; Metazoa; Chordata; Mammalia; Rodentia; Muridae. The record is from Ensembl.
GGAAGAGGAAGAGGAAGAGGAAGAAGAGUUAACAUUCCUUGUGCUGGCAGCUGAACCCAGUAAUGUGUAAGAGUCUCCCAGGUGGUAACGGUUACGGCUUGGCACUAGAAGAGGCCAUUGGUAAAGGUAAAGCCUCAGAUGCAGUGGAAACCCCAGAAUUGAAGGAUCAUGGAGAGAAGUUGAAGCUUAUACCAUAUUGCCAGAUCAGUCCACUGAAGACAGCUUAAAGAGAAGCUGUUGAUGAAAGUGCAGCUUGGUUCCAGCAGGGAUCCUGGUAUUUUGGAGAUGCCAGACCAUGAAGUGACAACCAAGGACAGCAGCAGCAAUGGAGUAGAGCCAACCUGAGCCUAGGAGACAAUCUUUAUUUGCUGCUUGUGGUAGAACAAGAGAAUUAGAACUGCUUAGGCCUUCUGGAGCCCAGCAGGUCAUGACUGAAUCCCAGGACCACCUGCCCAGAGGUGACACUGCUUACAGUAGACUGGGACCUCCUGCCUCAAUCAUUAAUCAAGAAGAUGCCAGCAGACUGAUUUCUGGAGAGACUGCCUUUAGCGCUUCUUAACAUUGUCCAUGGCCAUUACAACAUCAAAAAGAGGCCUGAGCCAAACGCUCUUCACAGGAAACUGGACAGGAACCUGGCAUCGCCGUUCUCAGAGACGCUCCACCUAGCAACCAAUGGAAAGAGAUACAGGGACUCACACCCAAACGUUAGAUGCAACCCAGGAAGUUUUAUGGAAGAGUUGGGAGAAAGACUGAGGAACCUGAAGAGCACAGGGACUCCACAGUAUCCAACCGAGUCAGCUAACCUGGGACCUCGGGAGCUCUCAGAGACUGAAUCACCAACCGAAGAGCAGUCUGUGUCAGGUAAGCGGCUUUUUCUUCAUGUGGGUCCCCCAAACAACUGGAGCAGGGCUGUCCCUGAGCCCGUUGCCUGCCCACCUGUGGACCCUGUACCUCUUAAUGGACAACCGUGUCUGGCCUCAGCGGGAGGGAAUGUGCCUGGUCCUGCAGUGACUUGAUGUGCAG